UGACUGAGCGGCGGACGGGUGAGUAACGCGUGGGUAACCUGCCCUGUACAGGGGGACAACAGUUAGAAAUGACUGCUAAUACCGCACAAGCGCACAGGACCGCAUGGUCCGGUGUGAAAAACUCCGGUGGUACAGGAUGGACCCGCGUCUGAUUAGGUAGUUGGCGGGGUAACGGCCCACCAAGCCGACGAUCAGUAGCCGACCUGAGAGGGUGACCGGCCACAUUGGGACUGAGACACGGCCCAAACUCCUACGGAAGGCAGCAG
RNAcentral lists this ribosomal RNA (266 nucleotides) under uncultured bacterium. Its description in RNAcentral is "partial 16S ribosomal RNA". It matches the Rfam family "Bacterial small subunit ribosomal RNA", at positions 88 to 354 of the family's 1533-position model. The record is from RNAcentral.